Molecule: ribosomal RNA, 2902 nt
Filed under: Escherichia coli
Lineage: Bacteria; Pseudomonadati; Pseudomonadota; Gammaproteobacteria; Enterobacterales; Enterobacteriaceae
Description: 23S ribosomal RNA
Rfam family: Bacterial large subunit ribosomal RNA
Source: RNAcentral
UUAAGCGACUAAGCGUACACGGUGGAUGCCCUGGCAGUCAGAGGCGAUGAAGGACGUGCUAAUCUGCGAUAAGCGUCGGUAAGGUGAUAUGAACCGUUAUAACCGGCGAUUUCCGAAUGGGGAAACCCAGUGUGAUUCGUCACACUAUCAUUAACUGAAUCCAUAGGUUAAUGAGGCGAACCGGGGGAACUGAAACAUCUAAGUACCCCGAGGAAAAGAAAUCAACCGAGAUUCCCCCAGUAGCGGCGAGCGAACGGGGAGCAGCCCAGAGCCUGAAUCAGUGUGUGUGUUAGUGGAAGCGUCUGGAAAGGCGUGCGAUACAGGGUGACAGCCCCGUACACAAAAAUGCACAUAUUGUGAGCUCGAUGAGUAGGGCGGGACACGUGGUAUCCUGUCUGAAUAUGGGGGGACCAUCCUCCAAGGCUAAAUACUCCUGACUGACCGAUAGUGAACCAGUACCGUGAGGGAAAGGCGAAAAGAACCCCGGCGAGGGGAGUGAAAAAGAACCUGAAACCGUGUACGUACAAGCAGUGGGAGCACGCUUAGGCGUGUGACUGCGUACCUUUUGUAUAAUGGGUCAGCGACUUAUAUUCUGUAGCAAGGUUAACCGAAUAGGGGAGCCGAAGGGAAACCGAGUCUUAACUGGGCGUUAAGUUGCAGGGUAUAGACCCGAAACCCGGUGAUCUAGCCAUGGGCAGGUUGAAGGUUGGGUAACACUAACUGGAGGACCGAACCGACUAAUGUUGAAAAAUUAGCGGAUGACUUGUGGCUGGGGGUGAAAGGCCAAUCAAACCGGGAGAUAGCUGGUUCUCCCCGAAAGCUAUUUAGGUAGCGCCUCGUGAAUUCAUCUCCGGGGGUAGAGCACUGUUUCGGCAAGGGGGUCAUCCCGACUUACCAACCCGAUGCAAACUGCGAAUACCGGAGAAUGUUAUCACGGGAGACACACGGCGGGUGCUAACGUCCGUCGUGAAGAGGGAAACAACCCAGACCGCCAGCUAAGGUCCCAAAGUCAUGGUUAAGUGGGAAACGAUGUGGGAAGGCCCAGACAGCCAGGAUGUUGGCUUAGAAGCAGCCAUCAUUUAAAGAAAGCGUAAUAGCUCACUGGUCGAGUCGGCCUGCGCGGAAGAUGUAACGGGGCUAAACCAUGCACCGAAGCUGCGGCAGCGACGCUGAUGCGUUGUUGGGUAGGGGAGCGUUCUGUAAGCCUGUGAAGGUGUGCUGUGAGGCAUGCUGGAGGUAUCAGAAGUGCGAAUGCUGACAUAAGUAACGAUAAAGCGGGUGAAAAGCCCGCUCGCCGGAAGACCAAGGGUUCCUGUCCAACGUUAAUCGGGGCAGGGUGAGUCGACCCCUAAGGCGAGGCCGAAAGGCGUAGUCGAUGGGAAACAGGUUAAUAUUCCUGUACUUGGUGUUACUGCGAAGGGGGGACGGAGAAGGCUAUGUUGGCCGGGCGACGGUUGUCCCGGUUUAAGCGUGUAGGCUGGUUUUCCAGGCAAAUCCGGAAAAUCAAGGCUGAGGCGUGAUGACGAGGCACUACGGUGCUGAAGCAACAAAUGCCCUGCUUCCAGGAAAAGCCUCUAAGCAUCAGGUAACAUCAAAUCGUACCCCAAACCGACACAGGUGGUCAGGUAGAGAAUACCAAGGCGCUUGAGAGAACUCGGGUGAAGGAACUAGGCAAAAUGGUGCCGUAACUUCGGGAGAAGGCACGCUGAUAUGUAGGUGAAGCGACUUGCUCGUGGAGCUGAAAUCAGUCGAAGAUACCAGCUGGCUGCAACUGUUUAUUAAAAACACAGCACUGUGCAAACACGAAAGUGGACGUAUACGGUGUGACGCCUGCCCGGUGCCGGAAGGUUAAUUGAUGGGGUCAGCGCAAGCGAAGCUCUUGAUCGAAGCCCCGGUAAACGGCGGCCGUAACUAUAACGGUCCUAAGGUAGCGAAAUUCCUUGUCGGGUAAGUUCCGACCUGCACGAAUGGCGUAAUGAUGGCCAGGCUGUCUCCACCCGAGACUCAGUGAAAUUGAACUCGCUGUGAAGAUGCAGUGUACCCGCGGCAAGACGGAAAGACCCCGUGAACCUUUACUAUAGCUUGACACUGAACAUUGAGCCUUGAUGUGUAGGAUAGGUGGGAGGCUUGGAAGUGUGGACGCCAGUCUGCAUGGAGCCGACCUUGAAAUACCACCCUUUAAUGUUUGAUGUUCUAACGUUGACCCGUAAUCCGGGUUGCGGACAGUGUCUGGUGGGUAGUUUGACUGGGGCGGUCUCCUCCUAAAGAGUAACGGAGGAGCACGAAGGUUGGCUAAUCCUGGUCGGACAUCAGGAGGUUAGUGCAAUGGCAUAAGCCAGCUUGACUGCGAGCGUGACGGCGCGAGCAGGUGCGAAAGCAGGUCAUAGUGAUCCGGUGGUUCUGAAUGGAAGGGCCAUCGCUCAACGGAUAAAAGGUACUCCGGGGAUAACAGGCUGAUACCGCCCAAGAGUUCAUAUCGACGGCGGUGUUUGGCACCUCGAUGUCGGCUCAUCACAUCCUGGGGCUGAAGUAGGUCCCAAGGGUAUGGCUGUUCGCCAUUUAAAGUGGUACGCGAGCUGGGUUUAGAACGUCGUGAGACAGUUCGGUCCCUAUCUGCCGUGGGCGCUGGAGAACUGAGGGGGGCUGCUCCUAGUACGAGAGGACCGGAGUGGACGCAUCACUGGUGUUCGGGUUGUCAUGCCAAUGGCACUGCCCGGUAGCUAAAUGCGGAAGAGAUAAGUGCUGAAAGCAUCUAAGCACGAAACUUGCCCCGAGAUGAGUUCUCCCUGACUCCUUGAGAGUCCUGAAGGAACGUUGAAGACGACGACGUUGAUAGGCCGGGUGUGUAAGCGCAGCGAUGCGUUGAGCUAACCGGUACUAAUGAACCGUGAGGCUUAACCUU